Molecule: ribosomal RNA, 739 nt
Filed under: Clostridioides difficile
Lineage: Bacteria; Bacillati; Bacillota; Clostridia; Peptostreptococcales; Peptostreptococcaceae
Description: partial 23S ribosomal RNA
Rfam family: Bacterial large subunit ribosomal RNA
Source: RNAcentral
AGGGACCACCCUCCAAGGCUAAAUACUACCUAGUGACCGAUAGCGUAUAGUACCGUGAGGGAAAGGUGAAAAGAACCCCGGGAGGGGAGUGAAAUAGAACCUGAAACCCUGCACUUACAAGCUGUGGAAGCACAUUUCUUGUGUGACCGCGUACUUUUUGUAGAACGGGCCAACGAGUUACGUUAAGUAGCAAGGUUAAGCACUUAAGGUGCGGAGCCGUAGCGAAAGCGAGUUUUAACUGAGCGUUCAGUUACUUGACGUAGACCCGAAACCGGGCGACCUACCCAUGAGCAGGAUGAAGCGAAAGUAAAAUUUCGUGGAGGUCCGAACCCACGAGCGUUGAAAAGCUCGGGGAUGACUUGUGGGUAGCGGUGAAAUUCCAAUCGAGCCCGGAGAUAGCUGGUUCUCCCCGAAAUAGCUUUAGGGCUAGCCUCAAGGUGAGAGAUACGGAGGUAGAGCACUGAAUGUCCUAGGGGGUAUUGCACCUACCGAAGACUAUCAAACUCCGAAUGCCGUCAUCUUAUACUUGGGAGUCAGACUGUGGGUGAUAAGAUUCAUAGUCGAAAGGGCAACAGCCCAGAUCGUCAGCUAAGGUCCCUAAAUGUAAGUUAAGUGGUAAAGGAUGUGGGAUUGCACAGACAACCAGGAUGUUGGCUUAGAAGCAGCCACUCAUUCAAAGAGUGCGUAAUAGCUCACUGGUCGAGUGAUCCUGCGCCGAAGAUUUCCGGGGCUAAAACUU